UACGGAGGGUGCGAGCGUUAAUCGGAAUAAUUGGGCGUAAAGGGCACGCAGGCGGGUUUUUAAGUGAGAUGUGAAAUCCCCGGGCUUAACCUGGGAAUAGCAUUUGAGACUGGGAGUCUAGAGUGCUUUAGGGGGGGGUAGAAUUCCACGUGUAGCGGUGAAAUGCGUAGAGAUGUGGAGGAAUACCGAUGGCGAAGGCAGCCCCUUGGGCAUGUACUGACGCUGAUGUGCGAAAGCGUGGGGAGCAAACAGG
Molecule: ribosomal RNA, 253 nt
Filed under: uncultured bacterium
Lineage: Bacteria
Description: partial 16S ribosomal RNA
Rfam family: Bacterial small subunit ribosomal RNA
Source: RNAcentral